GCGCGAAAACUUUACAAUGCUGGCAACAGCGAUAAGGGGACCUCGAGUGCCAGGAUACAAUCUUGGCUGUCGUGAUGCCUAAAAAGCAUUGCAUAGCAAGGGCCGGGCAAGACCGGCGUCAGCCGCCGCGGUAACACCGGCGGCUCGAGUGGUAACCGCUAUUAUUGGGUCUAAAGGGUCUGUAGCCGGCCGGAUAAGUCUUUUGGGAAAUCCAGCUGCUCAACAGUUGGGCUUUCAGAAGAUACUGUUCGGCUCGAGGCCGGGAGAGGUGAGAGGUACUUCAGGGGUAGGGGUGAAAUCUUGUAAUCCUUGAAGGACCACCAGUGGCGAAGGCGUCUCACCAGAACGGUCCUGACGGCAAGGGACGAAAGCUAGGGGCACGAACCG
RNAcentral lists this ribosomal RNA (387 nucleotides) under uncultured bacterium. RNAcentral describes it as "bacterial SSU rRNA". It matches the Rfam family "Archaeal small subunit ribosomal RNA", at positions 339 to 726 of the family's 1478-position model. The record is from RNAcentral.